RNAcentral lists this ribosomal RNA (406 nucleotides) under uncultured bacterium. RNAcentral's name for it is "partial 16S ribosomal RNA". It matches the Rfam family "Bacterial small subunit ribosomal RNA", at positions 30 to 526 of the family's 1533-position model. The record is from RNAcentral.
AUUGAACGCUGGCGGCAGGCCUAACACAUGCAAGUCGGGCGAGUGGCGGACGGGUGAGUAAUGUCUGGGGAACUGCCUGAUGGAGGGGGAUAACUACUGGAAACGGUAGCUAAUACCGCAUACCAUCGGAUGUACCCAUAUGGGAUUAGCUUGUAGGUGGGGUAAAGGCUCACCUAGGCGACGAUCCCUAGCUGGUCUGAGAGGAUGACCAGCCACACUGGAACUGAGACACGGCCCAGACUCCUACGGGAGGCAGCAGUGGGGAAUAUUGCACAAUGGGCGCAAGCCUGAUGCAGCCAUGCCGCGUGUAUGAAGAAGGCCUUCGGGUUGUAAAGUACUUUCAGCCGGGAGGCGUUACCCGCAGAAGAAGCACCGGCUAACUCCGUGCCAGCAGCCGCGGUAAUUC